RNAcentral lists this ribosomal RNA (497 nucleotides) under uncultured bacterium. RNAcentral describes it as "partial 16S ribosomal RNA". It matches the Rfam family "Bacterial small subunit ribosomal RNA", at positions 28 to 507 of the family's 1533-position model. The record is from RNAcentral.
GAUGAACGCUGGCGGCGUGCCUAAUACAUGCAAGUCGAGCGAACGGACGAGAAGCUUGCUUCUCUGAUGUUAGCGGCUGACGGGUGAGUAACACGUGGAUAACCUACCUAUAAGACUGGGAUAACUUCGGGAAACCGUAGCUAAUACCGGAUAAUAUUUUGAACCGCAUGGUUCAAAAGUGAAAGACGGUCUUGCUGUCACUUAUAGAUGGAUCCGUGCUGCAUUAGCUAGUUGGUAAGGUAACGGCUUACCAAGGCAACGAUGCAUAGCCGACCUGAGAGGGUGAUCGGCCACACUGGAACUGAGACACGGUCCAGACUCCUACGGGAGGCAGCAGUAGGGAAUAUUCCGCAAUGGGCGAAAGCCUGACGGAGCAACGCCGCGUGAGUGAUGAAGGUCUUCGGAUCGUAAAACUCUGUUAUUAGGGAAGAACAUAUGUGUAAGUAACUGUGCACAUCUUGACGGUACCUAAUCAGAAAGCAACGGCUAACUACGUG